This 184-nucleotide small nucleolar RNA is filed under the name Microtus ochrogaster (prairie vole). RNAcentral describes it as "Small nucleolar RNA SNORA23 (ENSMOCG00000010811.1)". It matches the Rfam family "Small nucleolar RNA SNORA23". Rfam says of the family: The members of this family belong to the H/ACA class of snoRNAs which are thought to guide the sites of modification of uridines to pseudouridines. This family includes human snoRNA ACA23 (SNORA23) and mouse snoMBI-1. Lineage: Eukaryota; Metazoa; Chordata; Mammalia; Rodentia; Cricetidae. The record is from Rfam by way of RNAcentral.
GUAGUACUGUGUGCAUAGUUGUCGUCUAUGUCUGGUAGCAGUGUCUGUCUGUGUUUUGCAUUCAGAUCUUGCUAUCCACACAAAGAUUGUGCAGCCAAAGAGUAACAUGGGAUCAUAGUACUGGUUUAGUGUUGUGUGCUUGAACACAUCUCCCACUGACCAGCCUCCAAAUUCCCGGACACAA